RNAcentral lists this ribosomal RNA (499 nucleotides) under uncultured bacterium. Its description in RNAcentral is "partial 16S ribosomal RNA". It matches the Rfam family "Bacterial small subunit ribosomal RNA", at positions 28 to 507 of the family's 1533-position model. The record is from RNAcentral.
GAUGGGCGCUGGCGGCGUGCCUAAUACAUGCAAGUCGAGCGAACAGACGAGAGUGCUUGCACUCUCUGACGUUAGCGGCGGACGGGUGAGUAACACGUGGGUAACCUACCUAUAAGACUGGGAUAACUUCGGGAAACCGGAGCUAAUACCGGAUAAUAUUUAGCUUCGCAUGAAGCAAUAGUGAAAGACGGUUCUGCUGUCACUUAUAGAUGGACCCGCGGUGUAUUAGCUAGUUGGUGAGGUAACGGCUCACCAAGGCAACGAUACAUAGCCGACCUGAGAGGGUGAUCGGCCACACUGGGACUGAGACACGGCCCAGACUCCUACGGGAGGCAGCAGUAGGGAAUCUUCCGCAAUGGACGAAAGUCUGACGGAGCAAUGCCGCGUGAGUGAAGAAGGUUUUCGGAUCGUAAAACUCUGUUGUAAGGGAAGAACAAGUACGUUAGUAACUGAACGUACCUUGACGGUACCUUACCAGAAAGCCACGGCUAACUACGUG